Long non-coding RNA from Uranotaenia lowii, 1350 nucleotides. RefSeq lists it as uncharacterized. The record is from RefSeq and is a predicted model, not a curated record. The transcript has 7 exons. NCBI's taxonomy places the organism in Eukaryota, Metazoa, Arthropoda, Insecta, Diptera, Culicidae.
UGUUAGCAAAAAUUUUUUUUUACUCUCGAGUUAGCAUUUUCCCAUAUUGUCAUGGCUUUAGCUCAAUUUGAGUAAAAACUACUCACUUGCUACUAUUUUCAGUAUUUUCAUUAGCACCGACUCAAACCAUUUGUCUGCGCUCGAAACGUGUUCGUUCCCGAUGGUGCGGUUUGUUUUGAUAAGUUAUUGUUUUGAAUCGUGUUCCCGUAAAACUUUAAAAGUUGUGUUUCUGGUUAACGAAAUCAUCUUCCGGAGUGGCAACGAACAGCCGGUGGUUUUGGCCGAGCCCUAAGAUGACAAUUUUGUAUCGAGGCGGUCAAUUUGGAAGGUAGAGCCAAAGAUUGUUAUGUAAAAACAACAUUAUGUCGCCCCGGAUCUAUCUUUGGGUCAUCUUCAUUUUGUAUUCAGCUCGCUUCCGGCAACUGAUCAACGUACCGCCCGUGGAUUUUUCCGUAAUAUGUAAAGAUUGAACAAAAUAAUGGUCACAACUCGAAAUGAAACUUGAAACCUAUAUGAAGGCUUAUUUUGUUUCGCAUCACAGGCCCCACUUUGUUUCGGCAAAAAAGGAAGCUCCAGCAAUACACCUGAUGGAAACAGGCGUAAAUCGAUCCAUUCCAGAAUCCUCGAUCGGCAAUCAAAUAUUCUGGCAUUUUUUCCUUUCAUCGGCCUCUGCUUGCUAUUCUUUUUCUUCGAAUCUACCAGCUAAACGAAUUCACGACAAGGCAGCGAAUUUAUGCAUAUCCGUGAUAGGAACAUAGUCAAACGAGCGAUCUGACGAGAAGGAUGAUAACGAAAACAAUUUGCUCUAUUUAUGAUUGAAAUAGACAUAUACAAUAUCCUGAUUGAUCAAACCGUUACUCCUGGAGGCGUUUUUAAAAUUUUACCCAUAAAAACCUAGUCAACCUACCAGUGAAAAACUAAUGCAAACGGUCAGAAUGCUACCCGUGGAAAAAUGGGUGCCGCUGGAUAAUUGGAAUAACACUCGUUACACUGGAUUUAAUUCAAGAAUAUCACAAUAUAGAUUGGUCAAUUCUUUUCUAUCCUACCACGUACAGCUAUCUCAACCAUGGAGACUGUUUCCAUAAGUCAGUGUAAUGCAAAAAAUUAAAAUUUUGAUUGAUAUUCCAUUGUCAUGAAAUUCGAUUAGGCAAUCCAUUUGUGCAAACGGUGGCGUACGUGGUCAUUGGAUAGGUCUAAGGAAUCUGCAACAUGGGGCCGAUGGAAGCGAUAUGGUCAAUACGCUGGUGGUCGAUUUUGGAGACGUAAAGAAUAUCGACAAAGUGAAUAAGAAUAAAUUUGAAGUAUUGAUCGUAAAUUGUGAUAAAAAUGAAUGUGAUUAUAAUCUGUAAG